This 94-nucleotide non-coding RNA is filed under the name uncultured Gemmiger sp. Its description in RNAcentral is "SAM riboswitch (S box leader)". It matches the Rfam family "SAM riboswitch aptamer (S box leader)". Rfam says of the family: The SAM riboswitch is found upstream of a number of genes which code for proteins involved in methionine or cysteine biosynthesis in Gram-positive bacteria. The record is from RNAcentral. Lineage: Bacteria; Bacillati; Bacillota; Clostridia; Eubacteriales; Oscillospiraceae.
CUUAUCAAGAGCGGCUGAGGGACAGGCCCUGUGAAGCCCGACAACCUGCGCGCAAGCGUAAGGUGCCAAAUCCUGCGGGGAACCGAAAGAUAAG